GUCUGUUUCAACAUGGGACACAUCACUUUAGCCAAAAAAUUGGCUAGGAAAGCCCGUCGGCUGCUGAAAAGGAAUUUCCCUUGGACCCGGUUUGGUGUCCUUUUCCAGACAUUCCUGGAAAAGUAUUGGUAUCCCUGUACCCUGAGCCAACCUCCAAACAACCCUAGUGAGAAGUGAGAAGGCUUCCUAAGACUGUAGUUAACUAGCCUGAGCUUUGCCUUUUUGACCUAAAACUACUUUUUUCUAUCAAAUAAUCUUUAAGCAUCUAACAGACAAGCAGAUAACAAGAUAUAUAACAGUCAGCAUACAUAUAUAUAUAUAUAUGUAUAUAUUCCACCUUACUCCCCCAGCCAAUUACAUGUAGCACAUAGGGAUUUAAAGAAUGAAUCUUUUUUUGAAACCUCUCUCUGAACUUUUCCUGAUCAAGAGGGAUUAAUUAAAAUGGCAUAUGAGGUUAGGAGUAGUGGGAAACAAGGACUAUUUCUGAAUUUGGACAUCUGUAGAUGGCCCCAUGAUGAGUAGACUUGGAGCUCUUGUAGGGAGGGAACUUUGGGCAUUAGUAAAGAAUAAGGGCAUGCUAACCACCCUGUGCCUUGCAACAGUAAGAAGAAUUUGGCAGUUCUGCAGCAGCAGGUGCAUUGCCUCUCCCUACUCUGGCAGCUCUAUAACCUGGAGGCCACAGCCAGUAGCUACAGGUUUGCCUGCCUGGCUACUCUUAUGCAGAAGAAUUCAGCUGAGGAGUUUGCAAAUGAAGCCCAGGUUGUCUCUACCUAUGUGGAGCUCUCUCAGUUCUCCCAGAGCAUGGGCAUCAAGGACAAGUGGCUGCACUGUGAGCAGAUGGCCAUUCAGAAAAGCAGUUUAUGUUGGUUCUCCAGGGAGGGAUUGUUGGCCACAGCUCAGGUCAUGCAGGCCCUGGCCUACACCAAGCUCUGCCUUGGCCAUCUUGACUUCUCCAUCAAGCUGGGUAAAGGGACUUAGGGAUGGUGGGUCUAGGGCUUUUAGAGAGUACAUGUUCACAGCUGGAUCUCACACAGUGCUCUUGAACCUCCUCAGGUUUUCAAGCUCGUGA
RNAcentral lists this long non-coding RNA (1069 nucleotides) under Piliocolobus tephrosceles (Ugandan red Colobus). RNAcentral describes it as "lncRNA (ENSPTEG00000034907.1)". Lineage: Eukaryota; Metazoa; Chordata; Mammalia; Primates; Cercopithecidae. The record is from RNAcentral.